This 73-nucleotide transfer RNA is filed under the name Bos taurus (domestic cattle). It matches the Rfam family "tRNA". Rfam says of the family: Transfer RNA (tRNA) molecules are approximately 80 nucleotides in length. Their secondary structure includes four short double-helical elements and three loops (D, anti-codon, and T loops). Lineage: Eukaryota; Metazoa; Chordata; Mammalia; Artiodactyla; Bovidae. RNAcentral also lists the same sequence under 1 other name. The record is from Rfam by way of RNAcentral.
CACCUGGUGGUACGGUAGUUAGGACUCAGCACUUUCACUGCUGAGGGCCUGGGUUCAAUCCCUAGUCAGGGAA